AUGCAUCCCGCGUCCUCUUCCUCGUCAGCGGCGCACCCGCCCGACGGCGACCGCCCCAACGCCAAGGCCCCAACGCCUCCCGGCCCGGCCAUGGGCUACCCCGCCAACGCCGCGCCCAACCCCGGCAACGCCAGCUCCGCCUACUACGCCGCCGCGCCGCCCCCCGUCGCCAACGGCAACGGCACGGCCGCCUUCGGCGUCGCCUACCCCUACCCGGCCCCGCCCCCGCACCACCACCACCACCACCCGCCUCCGCCCCCGCCCUACCACCACUACCACAACCACCACAACCCCUACCAGGCGGCCCCUCCGCCGCCGCCCACCUGCCUGCGCCGCCUCCUCGCGCUCGUCGUCGCCGCCUUCCUCCUCCUCGGCGCCGGCACCUUCAUCGUCUGGCUCCUCCUCCGCCCCCGCGCGCCCGCCUUCUCCCUCUCCGCUCUCACGCUCUCCCGCGUCGCCUACUCCCCGGCCAACUCCUCCCUCUCCGCCGCCUUCGACGCCUCGCUCCUCGCCGACAACCCCAACUCCAAGCUCACCAUCUCCUACUCAUCCCUCGUCGCUUACGUUGACCUCGCCCCCUCCUCCCCCAUCGCCGUUACCUCCCUCGCGCCCUUCGCGCAGGGGCCCCGGAACACCACCACGCUCGCCUUCCGCCUCGACGUCGACGGGACCUAUGUCGGGCCCGACGAGGCCGCCGCGCUCAAGAGCGGGAACGGGGGCACCAUGGAGGUCCAGGUGAGGCUCGCGGCCAUUGCCGUGUUCGAUAGAGGGGGCUGGCGCACCCGCCGGAGGGCCAUGAGGGUGUUGUGCGAUGGAGUGCCUGUCACAUUCCGUGGGAAGAACGCCACCGACGCAAAAUUUGAUGGCCCGGCACGCCGCUGCCAAGUCGUCUUGUGA
This 897-nucleotide ribosomal RNA is filed under the name Triticum aestivum (bread wheat). RNAcentral's name for it is "partial small subunit ribosomal RNA". The record is from RNAcentral. Lineage: Eukaryota; Viridiplantae; Streptophyta; Magnoliopsida; Poales; Poaceae.